AAAGUCGUAACAAGGUCUCCGUUGGUGAACCAGCGGAGGGAUCAUUACAGAGUUGCAAAACUCCCAACCAUUGUGAACGUUACCUGUACCGUUGCUUCGGCGGGCGGCUCCCUCGGGGGCCGCAACCCUCACGGGUGCCCGCCGGAGGACAUCAACUCUUUUGUUUUUAGGCCUCUCUGAGUAAUUAUACAAAUAAGUUAAAACUUUCAACAACGGAUCUCUUGGUUCUG
Molecule: unclassified non-coding RNA, 230 nt
Filed under: Ascomycota sp.
Lineage: Eukaryota; Fungi; Ascomycota
Description: partial contains small subunit ribosomal RNA, internal transcribed spacer 1, and 5.8S ribosomal RNA
Rfam family: Eukaryotic small subunit ribosomal RNA (bases 1-47)
Source: RNAcentral